UGGGGAAUUUUGGACAAUGGGGGAAACCCUGAUCCAGCCAUCCCGCGUGUGCGAUGAAGGCCUUCGGGUUGUAAAGCACUUUUGGCAGGAAAGAAACGUCGCGGGUUAAUACCCCGCGAAACUGACGGUACCUGCAGAAUAAGCACCGGCUAACUACGUGCCAGCAGCCGCGGUAAUACGUAGGGUGCAAGCGUUAAUCGGAAUUACUGGGCGUAAAGCGUGCGCAGGCGGUUCGGAAAGAAAGAUGUGAAAUCCCAGAGCUUAACUUUGGAACUGCAUUUUUAACUACCGGGCUAGAGUGUGUCAGAGGGAGGUGGAAUUCCGCGUGUAGCAGUGAAAUGCGUAGAUAUGCGGAGGAACACCGAUGGCGAAGGCAGCCUCCUGGGAUAACACUGACGCUCAUGCACGAAAGCGUGGGGAGCAAACAGGAUUAGAUACCCUGGUAGUCCACGCCCUAAACGAUGUCAACUAGCUGUUGGGGCCUUCGGGCCUUGGUAGCGCCAGCUAACGCGUGAAGUUGACCGCCUGGGGAGUACGGUCGCAAGAUUAAAACUCAAAGGAAUUGGACGGGGUCGAUA
RNAcentral lists this ribosomal RNA (578 nucleotides) under uncultured bacterium. RNAcentral describes it as "partial 16S ribosomal RNA". It matches the Rfam family "Bacterial small subunit ribosomal RNA", at positions 355 to 925 of the family's 1533-position model. The record is from RNAcentral.